ACUAUCAGAGCCAGAAUUACACUCCUAGCAGGGAUCCGUCAACUGUACUGGGUAAAAAUGCUUAUUAGGUGUAGAAAAUUGCCUAGAGAGGAACUUGGAUCGCCGGUCAUGGGAUUUUGAUGUAUAGCUAAAACGGAUGGACCUGCCGGAUGCUUUAUUUGCUGCUCUUAAACUUCCAAUUACAUUUACUUUGUCUGGA
Syzygium oleosum is the source of this 199-nucleotide long non-coding RNA. RefSeq lists it as uncharacterized. NCBI's taxonomy places the organism in Eukaryota, Viridiplantae, Streptophyta, Magnoliopsida, Myrtales, Myrtaceae. The record is from RefSeq and is a predicted model, not a curated record. The transcript is spliced from 2 exons.